RNAcentral lists this ribosomal RNA (402 nucleotides) under uncultured bacterium. RNAcentral describes it as "bacterial SSU rRNA". It matches the Rfam family "Bacterial small subunit ribosomal RNA", at positions 29 to 412 of the family's 1533-position model. The record is from RNAcentral.
AACGAACGCUGGCGGCGUGGAUUAGGCAUGCAAGUCGAACGAGAAAGGGUCCGCAAGGACCCGAGUAAAGUGGCGAAAGGGUGAGUAGUACCUAGGUAACCUGCCCUGAAGACGGGGAUAACGUCUCUAACGGGACGCUAAACCCGAUGUGUCGGCGCUGUGGCAUCACAGUGCCGGUAAAGGUAGCCUCUAUUUAUAAGCUUCUGCUUCAGGAGGGGCCUCGGACCUAUCAGCUAGUUGGUGCGGGUAACGGCCCACCAAGGCUGGGACGGGUAGCCGGUCUGAGAGGAUGGUCGGCCACACUGGAACUGAGACACUGUCCAGACUCCUACGGGAGGCUGCAGUCGAGGAUCUUCUGCAAUGGGCGCAAGCCUGACAGAGCGACGCCGCGUGGGGGAGGAA